UACGUAGGGUGCGAGCGUUAAUCGGAAUUACUGGGCGUAAAGCGUGCGCAGGCGGCUAUUUAAGCUUGCUGUGAAAGCCCCGGGCUUAACCUGGGAACUGCAGUGAGGACUGGAUGGCUGGAGUGUGGCAGAGGGGGGUGGAAUUCCACGUGUAGCAGUGAAAUGCGUAGAGAUGUGGAGGAACACCGAUGGCGAAGGCAGCCCCCUGGGCUGAGAUUGACGCUCAGGCACGAAAGCGUGGGGAGCAAACAGG
This 253-nucleotide ribosomal RNA is filed under the name uncultured bacterium. RNAcentral's name for it is "partial 16S ribosomal RNA". It matches the Rfam family "Bacterial small subunit ribosomal RNA", at positions 524 to 776 of the family's 1533-position model. The record is from RNAcentral.